Molecule: ribosomal RNA, 460 nt
Filed under: uncultured bacterium
Lineage: Bacteria
Description: partial 16S ribosomal RNA
Rfam family: Bacterial small subunit ribosomal RNA
Source: RNAcentral
CCUACGGGUGGCAGCAGUGAGGAAUAUUGGUCAAUGGACGAGAGUCUGAACCAGCCAAGUAGCGUGAAGGAUGACUGCCCUAUGGGUUGUAAACUUCUUUUAUAUGGGAAUAAAACGUUCCACGUGUGGGAUUUUGUAUGUACCAUAUGAAUAAGGAUCGGCUAACUCCGUGCCAGCAGCCGCGGUAAUACGGAGGAUCCGAGCGUUAUCCGGAUUUAUUGGGUUUAAAGGGAGCGUAGGUGGAUUGUUAAGUCAGUUGUGAAAGUUUGCGGCUCAACCGUAAAAUUGCAGUUGAAACUGGCAGUCUUGAGUAAAGUAGAGGUGGGCGGAAUUCGUGGUGUAGCGGUGAAAUGCUUAGAUAUCACGAAGAACUCCGAUUGCGAAGGCAGUUCACUGGACUGCAACUGACACUGAGGCUCGAAAGUGUGGGUAUCAAACAGGAUUAGAUACCCCUGUAGUC